AUUAAACGCUGGCGGCAUGCCUUACACAUGCAAGUCGAACGGCAGCACGGGGGCAACCCUGGUGGCGAGUGGCGGACGGGUGAGUAAAGCAUCGGAACGUAUCCUGGAGUGGGGGAUAACGUAGCGAAAGUUGCGCUAAUACCGCAUACGCUCGAGAGAGGAGAGUGGGGGAUCGCAAGACCUCACGUUAUAGGAGCGGCCGAUGUCCGAUUAGCUAGUUGGUGGGGUAAAGGCCUACCAAGGCGACGAUCGGUAGCUGGUCUGAGAGGAUGAUCAGCCACACUGGGACUGAGACACGGCCCAGACUCCUACGGGAGGCAGCAGUGGGGAAUUUUGGACAAUGGGCGAAAGCCUGAUCCAGCCAUGCCGCGUGCGGGAAGAAGGCCU
Molecule: ribosomal RNA, 387 nt
Filed under: uncultured bacterium
Lineage: Bacteria
Description: bacterial SSU rRNA
Rfam family: Bacterial small subunit ribosomal RNA
Source: RNAcentral